CUGGGAAACUGCCUGAUGGAGGGGGAUAACUACUGGAAACGGUAGCUAAUACCGCAUGACCUCGCAAGAGCAAAGUGGGGGACCUUCGGGCCUCACGCCAUCGGAUGUGCCCAGAUGGGAUUAGCUAGUAGGUGGGGUAAUGGCUCACCUAGGCGACGAUCCCUAGCUGGUCUGAGAGGAUGACCAGCCACACUGGAACUGAGACACGGUCCAGACUCCUACGGGAGGCAGCAGUGGGGAAUAUUGCACAAUGGGC
RNAcentral lists this ribosomal RNA (256 nucleotides) under Yersinia mollaretii. RNAcentral describes it as "partial 16S ribosomal RNA". It matches the Rfam family "Bacterial small subunit ribosomal RNA", at positions 117 to 376 of the family's 1533-position model. Lineage: Bacteria; Pseudomonadati; Pseudomonadota; Gammaproteobacteria; Enterobacterales; Yersiniaceae. The record is from RNAcentral.